Scleropages formosus (Asian bonytongue) is the source of this 334-nucleotide long non-coding RNA. RefSeq lists it as uncharacterized. Lineage: Eukaryota; Metazoa; Chordata; Actinopteri; Osteoglossiformes; Osteoglossidae. The record is from RefSeq and is a predicted model, not a curated record. The transcript is spliced from 3 exons.
AGGUAACAACAAAUGCUGUGCUGUCACCAUUGUGAGAGCAGAAUAAAUAAUGGAAACAAGCAAUGUGUGAAUAUCAAAUAAACAGUGGAGCACAUCCUCACCAGCUGCAUUACAUCCUGGUAUGGCACCUGCUCAGUCCACGACUGUAAAGUAGGACGCAAGGUAAGAGCUACUGAGCAAUCGGCACUCACUCCAAAACACUGAAGAACAACUUCUACCCGGGACAGAAGACUUAUCAACACACUCCAGCGCUUUAUUGAUAUUAUUAUGUUGUACAUAAUGCAUCAAAGUUUCAUAAUUUACAGCCUGUUCAGUUGUCUGUAUUUGUUGUUUA